This 534-nucleotide ribosomal RNA is filed under the name uncultured fungus. RNAcentral's name for it is "SSU rRNA". It matches the Rfam family "Eukaryotic small subunit ribosomal RNA", at positions 194 to 755 of the family's 1831-position model. The record is from RNAcentral. Lineage: Eukaryota; Fungi.
GGAAGGGGUGUAUUUAUUAGAUAAAAAUCAACUUUGUUGGUGAAUCAUAAUAACUUCUCGGACCGCAUGGCCUCGUGCUGGCGGUGCUUCAUUCAAGUAUCUGCCCUAUCAACUGUCGAUGGUAGGAUAGAGGCCUACCAUGGUUGCAACGGGUAACGGGGAAUAAGGGUUCGAUUCCGGAGAGGGAGCCUGAGAAACGGCUACCACAUCCAAGGAAGGCAGCAGGCGCGCAAAUUACCCAAUCCCAACACGGGGAGGUAGUGACAAUAUGUAACAAUAUACGGCCUUAUACGUCGUAUAAUUGGAAUGAGUACAAUUUAAAUCCCUUAACGAGGAACAAUUGGAGGGCAAGUCUGGUGCCAGCAGCCGCGGUAAUUCCAGCUCCAAUAGCGUAUAUUAAAGUUGUUGCAGUUAAAAAGCUCGUAGUUGGACCUUGGACCUGGACAGGCGGUCCGCCUCACGGCGAGUACUGUCUUGCUGGGUCUUUCCUCUUGGUGAUCUGUUGUUUCGGCAGCGGGGAACCAGGACUUUUAC